CCUACGGGUGGCAGCAGUAGGGAAUCUUCCACAAUGGGCGAAAGCCUGAUGGAGCAACGCCGCGUGGGUGAUGAAGGUCUUCGGAUCGUAAACCUCUGUUGUCAGAGAAGAACGUGCGUGAUAGUAACUGUUAAUGUUUCGACGGUAUCUACCCAGAAAGCAACGGCUAACUACGUGCCAGCAGCCGCGGUAAUACGGAGGUGGCGAGCGUUAUCCGGAUUUAUUGGGCGUAAAGGGCACGCAGGCGGUCUUUUAAGUCUAAUGUGAAAGCCUUGGGCUUAACGGGAGUAGUGCAUUGGAAACUGGCAGACUUGAGUGCAGAAGAGGAGAGUGGAACUCCAGGUGUAGCGGUGAAAUGCGUAGAUAUAUGGAAGAACAUCAGUGGCGAAGGCGACUCUCUGGUCUGUAACUGACGCUGAGGUGCGAAAGCGUGGGUAGCAAACAGGAUUAGAUACCCGGGUAGUC
This 465-nucleotide ribosomal RNA is filed under the name uncultured bacterium. RNAcentral describes it as "partial 16S ribosomal RNA". It matches the Rfam family "Bacterial small subunit ribosomal RNA", at positions 338 to 795 of the family's 1533-position model. The record is from RNAcentral.